GUGAAAAUGAAAAUGAAAAAAUUUCAACAAUUCUUACAGGGGAUCGCCAACCACAGAGAAGGUACCAGAAAGCCAGGCUGGACUGGAAGGGAAGAAUGUAUACUCUAGGUGCACGUAAGUCGCCACAUUGAUUUAUUCAUCAGUAUGCAUGGAAAGCCACCGCAAGCUUGGUGCCGUGCCAGGUGCCUGGCAGGCCCUGGGGAUGCCCGGUGAGCCGGGCACACACACCUCUGCCUUCAGGACGAUGACAGCUUGUCUAGGAGCUGGCCACCAGGCAGACAAUUUGCUGUGGAAGGGGAAGACUCCGAGAGUUAUGGAUCGCCUUCUGGGGUCAAUUUUGAAAGCAAUUUAUGACGAUUCGGCCUCUGGACUCCUGUUCACAGCCGCUUGUGUCAGGUGGAUAAUUCUCCUGGCUUGGUCAUCAAAGCAAGCCCUACACCGACAAGGUGGUUCCUGCGCUGUGCAGAUCUGGGAGCAGAGAGAAAAUGAGCUCUGGCUGGGACAGGGUGCCCUGACAGGGCGGGUUGCCCCGGAAGCUGCCUCUCUGUUCUCCAAUUCUGCAUGAGAGCAGGGGAACAUGCACAGAGUUGAGACAACAAGACUUGAUUCAAAAUAGAAAAGAAGAAGUCAGGAAACUGGGAAACCAAAGCUGCAUAUAGACAGAAAACUAAGACAAGGUAACAAAUAAAAGUGAUAUAAUAGAAAUAAAAUAAGCAAAAUAAAGGGUGAGAAAAAGGCAGAAAAUGAAAUGCAUAGGAGGUUUAGAAUGGAUAAGAUGCAGAGUUGGACAAAAGAGGAGAUAUUGCAAACAAAAUGAGAUGAAGAAUUUAUAUAUAUGUGUGAUCUAUAUUCUUCAUAAUAGAAAAAAAAAGAUUAUAGCCCUCUUGAAUAGUUGCAAUGUAUAUUAGCAUAUUAAAAGCUCUAAAAUGUCCCCCACCCAAAGAAAAAUAAUUCUGCAGCUUCUUGGACCAUAAAACUUACCUCCUCCCUUUUUUCCAUAUAAUAACCUAGAAUCUAGUUCCAUGGAGCACAUGCCAGGGAAAAGCUGCAGUGUAUUUCAAAUCUUCAUAACUGACUUGAAAAGGGUUUGAGUUUCUUAUGUGGUUAGGCCAAUAUAUAAGAAUGGGCCACUUUACCAGUGGUCAAGAUUGGUCUAUUUCCUGGCACCUAUAUUUCAACCUACUUUGUUGCUCUCUAUGUAUUGUGGUAAGGGAAAAUAAUACCUUGCAGUAACAUUUUAUGCAUUUGGGAGUUUUUGAAAAUCUUCAGGGAACAUGAUUUGAGAAUAUCAGGGUCUACUUAUGUGGGUC
Non-coding RNA from Microcebus murinus (gray mouse lemur), 1310 nucleotides. NCBI's taxonomy places the organism in Eukaryota, Metazoa, Chordata, Mammalia, Primates, Cheirogaleidae. The record is from RefSeq and is a predicted model, not a curated record.